This 218-nucleotide ribosomal RNA is filed under the name uncultured fungus. RNAcentral describes it as "partial small subunit ribosomal RNA". The stretch from base 99 to 218 matches the Rfam family "Eukaryotic small subunit ribosomal RNA", at positions 741 to 863 of the family's 1831-position model. The record is from RNAcentral. Lineage: Eukaryota; Fungi.
GACAAGGACAAUGGGUCUGGCUUCUGGUCAGUACUUGUUGGACCGAGUCUUAUGUCUUGGGGAGGGUCGGUGCUCUUCACUGGGUGCCGGCCAACACGAACCAAGAAGAUUACUUUGAGUAAAAUAGAGUGUUCAAAGCAGGCUAAUGCUUGAAUACCUUAGCAUGGAAUAAUAAAAUAGGACCUUGGUUCUAUUUUGUUGGUUUACGGACCAAAGUC